Molecule: ribosomal RNA, 505 nt
Filed under: uncultured bacterium
Lineage: Bacteria
Description: partial 16S ribosomal RNA
Rfam family: Bacterial small subunit ribosomal RNA
Source: RNAcentral
AUUGAACGCUGGCGGCAGGCCUAACACAUGCAAGUCGAACGGUAACAGGAAUCAGCUUGCUGAUUCGCUGACGAGUGGCGGACGGGUGAGUAAUGUCUGGGAAACUGCCUGAUGGAGGGGGAUAACUACUGGAAACGGUAGCUAAUACCGCAUAACGUCGCAAGACCAAAGAGGGGGACCUUCGGGCCUCUUGCCAUCGGAUGUGCCCAGAUGGGAUUAGCUAGUAGGUGGGGUAACGGCUCACCUAGGCGACGAUCCCUAGCUGGUCUGAGAGGAUGACCAGCCAGACUGGAACUGAGACACGGUCCAGACUCCUACGGGAGGCAGCAGUGGGGAAUAUUGCACAAUGGGCGCAAGCCUGAUGCAGCCAUGCCGCGUGUAUGAAGAAGGCCUUCGGGUUGUAAAGUACUUUCAGCGAGGAGGAAGGUGUUGUGGUUAAUAACCACAGCAAUUGACGUUACUCGCAGAAGAAGCACCGGCUAACUCCGUGCCAGCCGCCGCCGAA